RNAcentral lists this ribosomal RNA (800 nucleotides) under Acinetobacter baumannii. RNAcentral describes it as "bacterial SSU rRNA". It matches the Rfam family "Bacterial small subunit ribosomal RNA", at positions 137 to 928 of the family's 1533-position model. Lineage: Bacteria; Pseudomonadati; Pseudomonadota; Gammaproteobacteria; Moraxellales; Moraxellaceae. The record is from RNAcentral.
UGGGGGACAACAUCUCGAAAGGGAUGCUAAUACCGCAUACGUCCUACGGGAGAAAGCAGGGGAUCUUCGGACCUUGCGCUAAUAGAUGAGCCUAAGUCGGAUUAGCUAGUUGGUGGGGUAAAGGCCUACCAAGGCGACGAUCUGUAGCGGGUCUGAGAGGAUGAUCCGCCACACUGGGACUGAGACACGGCCCAGACUCCUACGGGAGGCAGCAGUGGGGAAUAUUGGACAAUGGGGGGAACCCUGAUCCAGCCAUGCCGCGUGUGUGAAGAAGGCCUUAUGGUUGUAAAGCACUUUAAGCGAGGAGGAGGCUACUUUAGUUAAUACCUAGAGAUAGUGGACGUUACUCGCAGAAUAAGCACCGGCUAACUCUGUGCCAGCAGCCGCGGUAAUACAGAGGGUGCGAGCGUUAAUCGGAUUUACUGGGCGUAAAGCGUGCGUAGGCGGCUUAUUAAGUCGGAUGUGAAAUCCCCGAGCUUAACUUGGGAAUUGCAUUCGAUACUGGUGAGCUAGAGUAUGGGAGAGGAUGGUAGAAUUCCAGGUGUAGCGGUGAAAUGCGUAGAGAUCUGGAGGAAUACCGAUGGCGAAGGCAGCCAUCUGGCCUAAUACUGACGCUGAGGUACGAAAGCAUGGGGAGCAAACAGGAUUAGAUACCCUGGUAGUCCAUGCCGUAAACGAUGUCUACUAGCCGUUGGGGCCUUUGAGGCUUUAGUGGCGCAGCUAACGCGAUAAGUAGACCCGCCUGGGGAGUACGGUCGCAAGACUAAAACUCAAAUGAAAUUGACGGGGGGCCCGCACAA